AUCAUGCUGACGAGUCCCAAAUAGGGCGAAACGUGUGUCCUGGAU
Molecule: non-coding RNA, 45 nt
Organism: Schistosoma rodhaini
Lineage: Eukaryota; Metazoa; Platyhelminthes; Trematoda; Strigeidida; Schistosomatidae
Source: Rfam